CACGCCGUAAACUAUGGGUGCUAGCCGUCAGGAAGCUUGCUUUUUGGUGGCGCAGCUAACGCAUUAAGCACCCCGCCUGGGGAGUACGGUCGCAAGAUUAAAACUCAAAGGAAUUGACGG
Molecule: ribosomal RNA, 120 nt
Filed under: uncultured bacterium
Lineage: Bacteria
Description: partial 16S ribosomal RNA
Rfam family: Bacterial small subunit ribosomal RNA
Source: RNAcentral